UUUUUUUUUUUUUUACAUGAGAGUUUCAGAGAGAGUUGACUCACCUGCGUCACAAGAUUGGACUGGAAGGAUGUCAUGCCAAAGAUAAGUGAAGACCAAUGUGGGAUAAAUAUGUGAACCUACUGCAUCCAUCCUGCGUCCGUCCCAACCAUUUUCCCUCUGGGUUGCCCUGGACACGGAUGAUGUCCACGCAUUCUCCCUGCUUCAGAGCGAGGUCGGUUUUACUGCUUUUGCAGUCCACGCGAGCCUUCCCCUGGUGGACGACCUCCAGGGGGCCAACCAACUAAAAGGGCAGUGGAUCCCCAGUCUCUUCUGCAGCUUCUCCUCCUGCAGACGCAGCUCCAUGGAGUCCACCAGGUCGUAGAUGCUGUCCAGGGACCACAUGGGUGAUGGGAACCACGCCUUGACAUCGCUGUCCUUCCCCACCACCAACAUGCUGAAAUAGUCCUUACUGAUCUUCAGCUGCUCUCUCAGAUUGUUGACCAUGUCACGGGACAACGGCUCAACUUCACUCUGACUGCGGCCUGGAAGAAGAACAACAUGGUGAAAAAUCAGUUUCAACAUGGCGAAGUGGCGAAUACCUGAAGAGAGACCCAAAAAUUAGUAUUGGGUAAAUGUGAGCAACAAAUGGUAGUGGCCGGUGGUGGAAAAGUACUCAGAAGUUUUACUACAGUAAAAGCAGUAAUGCCACACUGUACAAAUUCGUAAAAAUAAAAAAAAGUAAAAACCCUGCAUUAAAUUUUGUACGUAAGUAAAACUUCAUAAGUAUUCACGUCAUAAUAUACUAAAUGGAAAAAUGCUCAUUUUG
Long non-coding RNA from Sebastes umbrosus (honeycomb rockfish), 808 nucleotides. RefSeq lists it as uncharacterized. NCBI's taxonomy places the organism in Eukaryota, Metazoa, Chordata, Actinopteri, Perciformes, Sebastidae. The record is from RefSeq and is a predicted model, not a curated record. The transcript has 4 exons.